CUUCGCCCGUGGCCAUUGCCGCCGGUGGAGUGCGCCUGCCUGGAAUUCUUGUCUAUAUCUCCACGUUGCUUUGGCGGGUCGUCUUAGGACCGCUGGGGGUGCUGCCCCUGGCGUAUGCCCGCCAAAAGCCUCAAUUAAUCCGUGUCAAACGUGUUGUCUUAAGUGUCAAGGAAUAAAUACAAAACUUUCAACAACGGAUCUCUUGGUUCUGGCAUCGAUGAAGAACGCAGCGAAAUGCGAUAAGUAAUGCGAAUUGCAGAAUUCCGUGAGUCAUCGAAUCUUUGAACGCACAUUGCGCCCCCUGGUAUUCCGGAGGGCAUGCCUGUCCGAGCGUCAUUAGUCCAAUCUCAAGCCCAGCUUGUCGUUGGGUCUUACCGCCUAAGCGGUUGACCCGAAAGUUAAUGACGGGUCUCGUAAACCGUUGAUGCAGCGAGCUUUACAGCACGCAUCUCCGGACUUUCCGGGCCCGCCUCAACCAACAUCUUAGGUUGACCUCGGAUCAGACAGGGUUACCCGCUGAACUUAAGCAUAUCAAUAAGCGGAGGAAAAGAAACCAACAGGGAUUGCCUCAGUAACGGCGAGUGAAGCGGCAACAGCUCAAAUUUGAAAUCUGAUCCCGUUAAGGGUCCGAGUUGUAAUUUGUAGAGGAAACUUUGGGCAAGGCUAUGGCCUAAUUUGCUUGGAACAGCAGGUCACAGAGGGUGAGAGUCCCGUUCGGGGCCGCAUGCCGCGCCUAUGUAAAGUUCCUUCGACGAGUCGAGUUGUUUGGGAAUGCAGCUCUAAAUGGGUGGUAAAUUUCAUCUAAAGCUAAAUAUUGGCCAGAGACCGAUAGCGCACAAGUAGAGUGAUCG
Molecule: ribosomal RNA, 851 nt
Filed under: uncultured fungus
Lineage: Eukaryota; Fungi
Description: eukaryotic LSU rRNA
Rfam family: Eukaryotic large subunit ribosomal RNA (bases 490-851)
Source: RNAcentral